RNAcentral lists this long non-coding RNA (1252 nucleotides) under Gallus gallus (chicken). Its description in RNAcentral is "lncRNA (ENSGALG00010010767.1)". Lineage: Eukaryota; Metazoa; Chordata; Aves; Galliformes; Phasianidae. The record is from RNAcentral.
AGGGAGGCAUUGCUUCCAUUUGGGAAAAUAAACAAAAUCUAUAUCCUCUGGAGAUCCUAAUGAAAGGAUUGCUCCUGUGCCCAACAUGUUGUGCUGUGCUUCAUGUGCCAGAGGGACAAUCUGAGUCUGUAAUGUCAGAAGAGUACAUCUGCACAGUAAGAACAGAAUGAAAAUGGUAGAUUCACCAUGCUGAAGGUCAAGGAGACCUUUCUCUUUGCUGUCUGUGUUCAGAAGGACCAGAGGGAUGAAUAACUUCUCAAGGUAGCAGUAAUCUUAUGCUCUCCUUCAUCUAACGUUAUCAAAACCUGUUUAAUCAGGCUGAAGUUACCCUCCUGGCUACCCAGCUUCAGCAAGUGGCGGUUAUGGGUUAGAUGUGAAACUGAGCUUGGACUAUUAACAUCUCCUAAAUGCCUCCCCAAAAUCAAGAAUAUUACCAUCACUUCUUGGCCAUCAUCCUGUCACGGUAAUGACAUUUCAAUUGUUUGAACUCCUCCGUGGGACUGUAGCCAAAUAACAGAUUCCUUGCUGGAAUAAAGCAUUCCACUCAGAAACACAACUGGUUUUGAGUGCUGUCAUGUUUAUGCAGUUCUCUGCCAAAGCAAAGCACACUCUUGUUUUUAUUGGAUUAAUAAAGGAUUGUUCUGGAAAACAAUGCUAUUAUUAUACGUGACUUUUUGGAAGAGACCCUCUGCAGAUAACCGUAGCGUUGCACAAAGAAAGAUUAACCAGGAAGGUUGUUUUCUUGCUUUUCUGAGCUCUGCUGAGUGCUAGAACGCAAGUCAUAGAGGAGAACCUCCUGCAUCCCACUCACAACUGAGGGCAACCAUUCCUGGCGGUGGGACAGGCCUGCAGGACAUCACAGCUUCACGGCUUUGCCACCAGCGACAAAGGAGAGCUGAGCUGGGAGGAGCAGGUAAAAAUGGGGUCUGCCGCAGUGUGGGAGCUUGCUCCAGCCACAGCGUCCCUCCGUCGGCUCUCUCUGUGGGACCACCACGUCUGUAAGCUCUACGUGCUGUGCGGAGGCAUCUUCACGGCGAAGCACCUCCGUUUAACUCAAGGCCCUUUCUCCUUUCCACGGAGCCACGCAGAGGCACGGAGGACAGGCUGUCAAAGCCCAGCACUGAGAUGAGACGCCCACAGGCAGCCGUGCCGAGGGCGCGCUGGGAUGGCCGGAGCUGUGGCGCCGCGGCGGGCGGUUGAUACCGCGCCUCAGCUCAGCGGCGGCGCACCCAGCGCCCAGCCGCGGGCUCAG